CAGUAUUGAUUUUCUGAGGAAAACUAUGAAAACUAUAAACUACGGUUUAUAUACUUUUCCUAAUUUCCCUUGCUUACUCAUCUUUCUCAUACUGCUGACUCAUGUACUGGACGGGGCCCGAGGAGAUGGUGAGCAUGCUGACCAGAGCAUGUAUAGAUAGCUCGAGGGAGACGGGAAGGCAGAGAGAUGGCUGGAAAGAAACCGAAGGGCGAAGAGAGAUGUCGAGAACCCAAAGAGAAUUUAGACGAUCGGCCGCGAUCGUCGGAGGUGGAGGUACUUUGGUUCGGCGGCAGAGAGAGGUGGAGGUUUCGGGUAUCACUUCUGCAUAGCGUCGUGACAGUUUGCCUAAUUGUCAAGUCUAAGGAUG
This 367-nucleotide small RNA is filed under the name Cryptococcus neoformans H99. Its description in RNAcentral is "Cryptococcus neoformans var. grubii H99 hypothetical RNA". Lineage: Eukaryota; Fungi; Basidiomycota; Tremellomycetes; Tremellales; Cryptococcaceae. The record is from RNAcentral.